UCCGACUGCUAUCCGGGUAAGACUAAGCCAUGCCAGUUGAAUGAGACUUCGGUUUCAUAGCGUACUGCUCAGUAACAAGUAAUCAACUUACCCUGAAGUGGGGCAUAACCUCGGGAAACUGAGGCUAAUUCCCCAUAGUUGAAGCGUCCUGGAAUGGUGCUUCAUCGAAAGAUUUUUCGCUCCAGGAUAGGAUUGCUCUCGAUUACGGUAGUUGGUGAGGUAAUGGCUCACCAAGCCUCUGAUCGAUAAGGGCCGUGAGAGCGGGAGCCCUGAGAUGGAUACUGAGACAAUGAUCCAUGCCUUACGAGGCGCAGCAGGCGCGCAACCUUUACAAUGCACGCAAGUGUGAUAAGGUUACCCGGAGUGCCGAGAGAAAAACUGUCGGCUGUUAUAGGUGUGUAAAAUACCCUAUGAGAAAGGAGAGGGCAAGGCUGGUGCCAGCCGCCGCGGUAAAACCAGCUCUUCAAGUGGUCGGGACUUUUAUUGGGCUUAAAGUGUCCGUAGCCGGUUUGAUAAGUUCCUGGUUAAAUCUGGCAGCUUAACUGUCAGUCAGCUAGGAAUACUGUCUUACUAGAGGGUGGGAAAGGUUUGAGGUACUCUAGGGGUAGCGGUGAAAUGCGAUAAUCCUUAGGGGACCACCAGUGGCGAAGGCGUCAGACUGGAACACGCCUGACGGUGAGGGACGAAAGCCAGGGGAGCGAACGGGAUUAGAUACCCCGGUAGUCCUGGCUGUAAACGAUGCGUGCUAGGUGUUGGUAGGGCUUUGAGCUGUAUCAGUGCCAAAGGGAAACUGUUAAGCGCGCCGCCUGGGAAGUACGCUCGCAAGAGUGAAACUUAAAGGAAUUGGCGGGGGAGCACCACAAGGGGUGAAGCCUGCGGUUC
Molecule: ribosomal RNA, 882 nt
Filed under: uncultured euryarchaeote
Lineage: Archaea; Methanobacteriati; Methanobacteriota
Description: bacterial SSU rRNA
Rfam family: Archaeal small subunit ribosomal RNA
Source: RNAcentral